GCCUGGGUGGCUCAGUCGGUUGAGUGUUUGACUUCAGCUCAAGUCAUGACCUCACAGUUUGUGGGUUUGAGCCCCACAUAGGGCU
Molecule: transfer RNA, 85 nt
Organism: Felis catus (domestic cat)
Lineage: Eukaryota; Metazoa; Chordata; Mammalia; Carnivora; Felidae
Rfam family: tRNA
About the family: Transfer RNA (tRNA) molecules are approximately 80 nucleotides in length. Their secondary structure includes four short double-helical elements and three loops (D, anti-codon, and T loops).
Source: Rfam